RNAcentral lists this long non-coding RNA (2109 nucleotides) under Helianthus annuus (common sunflower). RNAcentral's name for it is "hypothetical non coding rna". Lineage: Eukaryota; Viridiplantae; Streptophyta; Magnoliopsida; Asterales; Asteraceae. The record is from RNAcentral.
GUUGAGGCAAAACCGUAUUUUUUAACUGAGGGCAAAAACGUAAUUUUAAAGUGGAUAUAAAAUAAUAAUCUGGUUGGUCCAAUGGGUAUUGCUCGCCGCCCAUUUGAACCAAUGGCAGAGAAACACUAAUCCAGGGCAAAAACGUAAUUUUAAAGUGUGUAUAAAAUAAUAAACUGGUUGGUCCAAUGGGAUAGGGCCGGCCCGCCCAUUUAAACCAAUGGCAGGGUGGGUGAUACUAUUCCCUGCCAUGUGGUUUGUAUAUGUUGAAAAUUCUUUGAUGAAUUAGAAAAACAAGUGACUGUGAAUAUUAAAUUGGAAUAAUGAAUUUUAAUAAUCUCAACUAUUGUCCAUUGGUUGGCAACGGUCUCAACUUCAAAAAUUUCCACUGGGUCCAUUGAAAGCCAGUAUGUGAAAAGAUGAGACCGCCAGUGGAAAUUUUUAAAGUUGGGACUGUUGUAGGCCAAGAACAAUAGUUGGGAUUAUUAAAAUCCGUUAUUCCUAUUAAAUUAACCAAUAGGCGACUAGCCCAUUUUCGCACCUCUACGACACACCUCCCUAUUUUCGGACCACCACUGUAUCCACACCUUCUCAAAGUAAUACUAUUUUGGGAAAAAUAAAUAGGUGCGCAUGUGUAAAACUUACAAUACGCCCAAUAAAUAACCACUGAUAUGCAGUCGAGCUGAUGGACUGUAGUUAAAAACGUUGACGGAAUCAUAAACGCGUCGCACAACUUGAGCUUCCAUCAGCGAAAGCAUAAAUACGGAUAGCCAAACAUCGUACACCGGCAAAGAUUUGUUAAGGUGAUCCUGCUGAUCGAUCAUCAUUGCAUAAGACCAUACCGCAACUAGCAGCAUAGUCGUCCACAAAGUGCCCACCACAUAAAAGUGAGAGAAGAAACUAUGAGGCACGGUUAGAUUCUGAAAUGCAAACAUGCAAUCAGUUUGCUUGAAUAUUCAACAACACAAAAAAGGAGAAAUGCUCAUCAUGGUAAUUAUUAUAUUCAGGGACGACCACAUGAGGGCGUUUCGGGUGGUCGACUACACAGUGUCCAAAAUCUUUUUAUUCUCUCGCUAACUUGCUUAACAAAUAUCACCAUCAUCAUUAUCAUACUCAGUAAAUCUCGCCACUGGAUCUGAGGAGGGUAAGCAUUAAGAUGUAGACAACCUACCUCUACCACGUAUGAGUAGAGAGACUGCUUUCUGUGAGACCAUCGACUCCAUAAAUAUAAAAGUAUUAAAAAGACAUUGGCCCAAUAACCAUUUAAAACACUUAAAAACUUAACUCAAUUAACAAACUCAUUAGUCGACUCACUUGAUCAGAUGAUCACCCACUGGUGGGUCUGAGACAAACGGCCUUUGCAAAGCCGUUAGCCUCCACUCACCUGAUUGCUCAAAUCCAAAUUUCUGAAAUCCGAAUUCAUUAGAUCGUCUAAUCGUCCUCAUUGUAUAAAUCCGAAUCUACGUGUUUUAAAAACUUUUUUAUUUGCUUACUUUAGUUUUUAGGUGAUUUGAUAACUUCGCUAGAUUAAUUAUUAGAUUAAUGAAUGAUUAGUGAUUAGAUUGAUUGAUUUAUUAUUGGAUUAUUCAUUUAUUUUGCUUGAUUUAGCAUACUAUAGAAUCCAUUAGUGAUUAGAUUGAUUAUUUUAUUAUUUUAUUAUUCAUUUAUUUGCUUAAUCAACGUUUGAUUUAGCAUACUUUAGAUUGUUAACGUUAAAUUGAAACCUAUAUGAUUUUAAGAAAUUACGACUCAGAACCAACUAUCAUCUAGCUUGUAGUCAAAAACAUAAAAAGAAAAAAAUUGAAGAAUUAAGACAAUCUAAGAACCUAAUGACUUUUAUUUGUAUAUAUUAGUUUCUACUUUUAGGAUCCAUUUUUUACUAGUCACGCAGGACAGGACCUUCUACAAUUUUCAACCGGCCCUGAUUACAUGGGUCGUUAUGAACAUAUAUAAAAAGUAUUGCACUCACACUGUCGGACUUUGAAAUCUUGCCUCUCUUAGUGAGCUCCAAUAUAGCUCUACGUAACCAACGAAAGCCAGGUAACGGCAACCAUACUGCAACAAUCAGCAAAGUAGCAAGGAGCCAUGCCGCUCGUAGCAAUGUUACAAGCC